RNAcentral lists this long non-coding RNA (2107 nucleotides) under Homo sapiens (human). RNAcentral describes it as "HSALNT0377161". Lineage: Eukaryota; Metazoa; Chordata; Mammalia; Primates; Hominidae. The record is from RNAcentral.
GUAUACACAUGUCAAGAAAUCUGGGGUGCUAUGGUGUGUCACCAUUAGUUGCAUUAGGAAUCCCGAGUCCUUAAAUUCAAUAUGAAGUGGUUUUUGUUUGUUUGCUUUUAACAUUGGAGACUGCUUUGUGGAAAAGACUAUUUAAUUUGUUAAAUGUGCAAAGCCAAAAACUGUUAUUUUUUUCCCUUAGGCCGUUGAGUUCAGCUUAUGGUGAUGGAAAGAGAGAUGUCAAUAAUUCCACAUUUUCUGGCUUGCAUUGUUUGAUGAAAGGUGACCCCAUUCCCUGAGUUAAAGAAUGCUGAAAGAAGACCAGGCUUGAGGAGGAAGGAUCAUGCAUUUGCUUUUGGACCUGUAGAGUUUGAGGACAUGUUCAGCACCAGGAGGAAUUUGCAUCCAAGUCCGUCUCCCUGCUAAGUGGUAUUUUGAGAAUUCCGAAGCUUAGUCUCAGAGAAGAGCUGACCUGAACUUGCCGAGGCUCCCACUGCAUUGUAGCUUUUCUCUGGAGAACAAAAACUGCCAUUGUCCAGCAGCUCAUUAGCAUGACUGUACAGCCUCCGGAGUUAGCAAGGUGAUGCAAAAAUAAUAUGACAAGAUCCAUGUCUUCAAUGAGCUACAAUCCUACUGGGACAUGAGACUGUGCUUAUAAUAUGAUGAAAGAAUAAGAAAAUUUUAAAGGUGAGAAAAGAAGAUUUUGUCUUCCUUUCAUUCCCUUAGUAUUGAUAGGUGGGACUAAAUAGCCACUUUUCAUGACAAUAACAGCUAUAACAGGCAGAGCACAAGAACAAGCAGAGCUAUAACAAGCAGAGCACAAGAAGGAAGAGUGCAGAUCCAGGACUGGGACACUUAACCAAUAAUAAUACAAAUAGUGAGUACUGUUAGUUGAUUUUCCAGGCUCCUCUUCUCACUUGUAAUGGAAUUACAAAUUAUUUUGUUGGUCAUUGACACUAACCCCAGAUUCAGAAGGAGAUUUGAUUAGAGUAGUGUGAGUAUAAUCUCAUUGCUACUUCCAUAGCAAUUGGUUUGGGGUGAAUACUGUUGGGUGACAGCAGAGGGAGAUUAUUUCAUUUCCUGUGAUCUGUGUUCAAGGAAUUAUGGUGUUUUAAUUGCUGCUAGUAGCACUUUACUUUAGGAUGAAACCUGGUACAUACAUGUAAAGCACUUUAAACAGUUCCUGGUGCAAAGUAAAUGCUUAACAUGUGUUCUUUAUUGCUAUGGUUUGAAUGUAUGUGCCCCUCCAAAAUUCAUUUGUUGGAACUUAAACCCCAAGGUGAUGGUAUUAAGAGAUGGAGCCUUUGGAAGGUGACUGAGCCAUAAGCGCUCUGCCCUCAUUGAUGGGAUUAGUGCCCUCAUAAAAGAGCUUGAGGAGCUAGUUCUCCCUUUUUGUCCUUUUGCCCUUCCUCUCUUUCUACCAGAUGAAAACACAGCAGCAACAGGUGCCAUUUUGGAAGCAAGAAGCAGAGAACAAGCUCUCACUGGGCAUUAAAUCUGCCGGCAUCUUGAUCUUGAACUUCUCAACCUCCAGAACUCUGAGAAAUAAAUUUCUAUUAUUUACAAAUUACCCAGUCUAAGGUGUUUUGUUAUAGCAGCUCAAACAAAUUAAGAUAUCUGUUUAUUGCUUUUGGUAUGUGUUUGUGUUUUAAUUUUCUUGGAAGGUAGAGCAGAGAGACAAAAAUCACCAAAUUUUGGUGACAUGGUUGAAGCUCUGGGUCAAACCAAUCUUUGAGUCCAGCCUCUGAACCUCGCAUUAAAGUCCUUUAUAGUUUAGAUUGGUUAGGAUUAGGUCUCUUGAUGUUUGUUUUCACCUUGAGGGUUCCUAACUGCUACGGGGAGUCAGUGUGAUUUAACUCUAAGUGAAGAAGAACAGUUUAGAGGGAUGAUCCUGCACAUCUGCAUGGUGAUUGAAUUUAUGUCUCCUAUAAUUGUAUAUACAAAAUGAAAGUUUGGACUCUACAGGACAGGAGACUUUCCCCAACUUCUACCCUCCUUUAUCUUUUGCUGAUUAGUAUUGCAACAGGCACCUAACCAAACUCUCUGGCUCUGGGCCUGUGCUGUGUCUUCUAAUCUUCACACAGCUGCCAGCAUUAUCUUUAAAAGACAGAUCUUAUUA